Molecule: ribosomal RNA, 442 nt
Filed under: uncultured Oscillospiraceae bacterium
Lineage: Bacteria; Bacillati; Bacillota; Clostridia; Eubacteriales; Oscillospiraceae
Description: bacterial SSU rRNA
Rfam family: Bacterial small subunit ribosomal RNA
Source: RNAcentral
CCUACGGGAGGCUGCAGUGGGGAAUAUUGCACAAUGGGGGGAACCCUGAUGCAGCGACGCCGCGUGAAGGAAGAAGGCCUUCGGGUUGUAAACUUCUUUGACCAGGGACGAAUAAAUGACGGUACCUGGAGAACAAGCCACGGCUAACUACGUGCCAGCAGCCGCGGUAAUACGUAGGUGGCGAGCGUUGUCCGGAAUUACUGGGUGUAAAGGGCGUGUAGGCGGGUUCUUAAGUCAGAUGUGAAAUCCCGGGGCUCAACUCCGGAGCUGCAUCUGAAACUGGGGAUCUUGAGUGCUGGAGGGGAAAGUGGAAUUCCUAGUGUAGCGGUGAAAUGCGUAGAGAUUAGGAGGAACACCAGUGGCGAAGGCGGCUUUCUGGACAGCAACUGACGCUGAGGCGCGAAAGCGUGGGGAGCAAACAGGAUUAGAUACCCCGGUAGUC